AGUCUUCUGCCUUGGAGCCAAUACACAGUAUUAACUCCAAGAUGGAAGGUAAGGGUUUAAAAACAAUAAAUUAAAAAUAAAUAAAAAUUAAAAAAAAAAGUACAGUCUGAUUAGGGUGGAAUAGUUUUAAAAUUUACAGGAUGGCAGUGGCAGGUCCAGAGGCUUGGGGACCAACUCUGGUAAUAUGGGUGAGACUGAGGCCUCUGGCUCCCUCACAUCCUCCAAGAGGGCCAAGGUCUUAAGGGCUCACUUUGAGAGAGCACAGGGAUGUGAGGGAAGAAAGGAUUGGGGCCACAACAGGGCGGGGGGGAGGGAGUCCAGGACUAGGUCUUGCCAAGUAAUAAUAUAAGGAAUCUGUUCAGGAUGGCCUUGUGGGCCAGGAUCUAAAACCUGGGCCCAGACCUUGGAAAUAACCUCUAAGUUGAGGGUCCCCUCCUUGGGCCAUCCCAGAUCAAUUACUGGCCACCCUUAAGAGCAGAAGGUAACAAGUUUACUCUUUUUGAUGGACAUGGAGAGAUUUGGGGCCCUCACCUUGAAGACAGAGAAAUGGGUAGUCAUGAGGGAGAACGGAGUGGACUUCUGGCCUGGACUAUCCCUGACCCAUAAUGUCCUGUAGAAUGAAAGGAGUUAGUAGGCUGUACACAAAGGUGGUGAACACAAACACAGACCGGGCAAUACGUGACAGACUGGACAGCCAAGAUAGUCACAGCAAAUAUGAACAUUGGAUUGGAUGUGCUCCUAUACUCACCCCAAGGGGCAAGGGAGGAAUAACUGCACUGAGUCUUCAUUUUAGCAUCCAGGUGGGAAACCACAUUGGCAUCCUGGCUUUCAGAUUUAUCCUCCUAGAAUCCUCCUAAUUUCUGAGCCUAAUUAUCCUCCUAAUACCUGAGCCAAGUCUAGAAAGAAACCAGGGAUUUGAAGACACCACAAUGGGCAGCUGUGCCUUCCCUAUAUGAGGGAUGGAAUGGACAAAGAUUCAAACAAUGCUGGACAGGAAGAGUACUGAGAAAGUCAGCCUGAUUGGACCAUACCUACAAGAUGAGAAGGGAAAGAAGAGAGCAAAAGACUGAAAAGGUAGACUGGGGUCAAGACAUAAAGAUCUUCAGAAAUGCUAAACAGAGGGACUCUUUUGUGAAAACAGAGGUAAUAGG
This 1151-nucleotide long non-coding RNA is filed under the name Monodelphis domestica (gray short-tailed opossum). RNAcentral describes it as "lncRNA (ENSMODG00000049820.1)". The record is from RNAcentral. Lineage: Eukaryota; Metazoa; Chordata; Mammalia; Didelphimorphia; Didelphidae.